Molecule: long non-coding RNA, 602 nt
Organism: Arachis duranensis
Lineage: Eukaryota; Viridiplantae; Streptophyta; Magnoliopsida; Fabales; Fabaceae
Exons: 2
Source: RefSeq, a predicted model, not a curated record
CAUGGUUUCACUUUUUCAUCAAUGUGUUACUGCCAUGUUAAAGAGAGAAAAAGCCACGAAACCUUUUUCAACACCUCAGCUCUUUUUCUCUUCACUACAUGUAUAAGUGAGUAAUAUCAUUUAUUUUUCAUCACAUAUACCCAAACAAAAAAGAGAAAAGGAGGAUCAGCGACGGGAACAAAAAAGAGAGCAAGGAGGAGGACGAUCAAAGCUGAGGCAAGAGUUGCAUCCUACCCACCUAGCUAAUCCGUCAAGUUUUUUGCUAGAUGGAGACAGACUUGGCAGCUAAUGACCUUAGUUCAGAGGUGUCCGGAGGAGUUACUAAGGAAUACUCCGAGGAUCACUUUUGACUUGAUGACAAGCACUUUUUAUUUGAAUCUAUACGACCUUAUUCUUUAGUAAUACAUUUUUCUCUCUUUUGAUAAUGUUUUGAGGGAUAGAUUCUUUUAGUAUGUCGGUUCUAGUUUAGGGGACCAUGUGAGAGUCGGGACUGUUUUCAUGUCUUGUUAUGUAUAUACUCGAUGUAAAUACUCUAUAUUUUGGAUAUUGGCAUGUACUCUCAACUUAUAUAUUUGACCUAUCUUUUUAUGUCUUUAUUGUGA